AUGGGUGGCCUCUCCCUUGAGCACCCGUGGGCCUUUGCCUUUGGCCUCCUAGGCAACAUCAUCUCCUUCAUGACCUACCUAGCCCCACUGCCAACGUUCUACCGGAUCUACCGGAGCAAGUCGACGCAGGGGUUUCAGUCGGUCCCGUAUGUGGUGGCGCUCUUCAGCGCGAUGCUGUGGAUCUACUACGCGCUCCUCAAGUCCGACGAGCUCCUGCUCAUCACCAUCAACUCUGCCGGCUGCGUCAUCGAAACCAUCUACAUCAUCAUGUACCUCACUUACGCGCCAAAGCAAGCCAAGCUGUUCACGGCGAAGAUCCUCCUCCUCCUGAACGUGGGUGUGUUCGGCCUCAUCCUACUUCUCACACUGCUACUGGCUGGGGGCGAGAAGCGCGUCGUCAUGCUUGGGUGGGUCUGCGUCGGCUUCUCCGUCAGUGUCUUCGUCGCGCCGCUCAGCGUCAUCCGCCUCGUGGUGCGUACCCGGAGCGUGGAGUUCAUGCCCUUCUCCCUCUCCCUCUCUCUCACCGUCAGCGCCGUAGUCUGGUUCCUCUACGGCCUCCUCAUCAAGGACAAAUACGUCGCUCUUCCCAACAUCCUGGGGUUUGCCUUCGGGGUGAUCCAGAUGGGGCUCUACGCCCUGUACUGCAACGCCACGCCCAGGCAGGCGCCAAAGGAGGUGGACGAUCCCAUGUCUGACCAUGGUGGUGCCGUCAAGGCGCCCGAGCACGUCGUCAACAUCUCUAAGCUGAGCCCGGCGGCUGGCAUCGAACUCAACACAACCGUCAACGCCGAGCCGCCAUUGAAGAGCCUCGGCGUGGCUUGCGCCAACGAGGAGACCAUAGGGGUCAGCGUUGACAAGGCAACCCACGUCGAGCAAGUCUAG
RNAcentral lists this ribosomal RNA (882 nucleotides) under Triticum aestivum (bread wheat). RNAcentral describes it as "partial small subunit ribosomal RNA". Lineage: Eukaryota; Viridiplantae; Streptophyta; Magnoliopsida; Poales; Poaceae. The record is from RNAcentral.